This 398-nucleotide RNase P RNA is filed under the name Acetobacter musti. Its description in RNAcentral is "RNase P RNA component class A". It matches the Rfam family "Bacterial RNase P class A". From Rfam's summary of the family: Ribonuclease P (RNase P) is a ubiquitous endoribonuclease, found in archaea, bacteria and eukarya as well as chloroplasts and mitochondria. Its best characterised activity is the generation of mature 5'-ends of tRNAs by cleaving the 5'-leader elements of precursor-tRNAs. Cellular RNase Ps are ribonucleoproteins. Lineage: Bacteria; Pseudomonadati; Pseudomonadota; Alphaproteobacteria; Acetobacterales; Acetobacteraceae. The record is from RNAcentral.
CCAGACGGUCGGACGACCGCUGUUGCCUUCGGGUAAUGGAGGAAAGUCCGGGCUCCACGGGAGAACGGUGCCGGCUAACGGCCGGCGAGGGUGACCUCAGGGAAAGUGCCACAGAAAACAGACCGCCUUCCGGGUCCGUUCGCGGGCUGGAGGUAAGGGUGAAACGGUGCGGUAAGAGCGCACCGCGCUUCCGGUAACGGCGGCGGCAGGGCAAACCCCACCGGGAGCAAGACCGAAUAGGGAUGACGGGCAGCGCGGCGACGCGGCUGCCAGGGGCUCUCCCGCCCUGUCGUCCGGGUUGGUCGCGUGAGGCACGUUGCGAGACGUGUCCCAGAGGAAUGGUCGUCACGGCCCCGUUUUCGGGCCGACAGAACCCGGCUUACAGACCGUCUGGCAGA